This 447-nucleotide ribosomal RNA is filed under the name uncultured bacterium. RNAcentral describes it as "bacterial SSU rRNA". It matches the Rfam family "Bacterial small subunit ribosomal RNA", at positions 355 to 825 of the family's 1533-position model. The record is from RNAcentral.
UCGGGAAUUUUGGGCAAUGGGCGAAAGCCUGACCCAGCAACGCCGCGUGAAGGAUGAAGUAUUUCGGUAUGUAAACUUCGAAAGAAUAGGAAGAAUAAAUGACGGUACUAUUUAUAAGGUCCGGCUAACUACGUGCCAGCAGCCGCGGUAAUACGUAGGGACCAAGCGUUGUUCGGAUUUACUGGGCGUAAAGCGCACGUAGGCGGAUUGUUAAGUCAGAGGUGAAAUCCCGGAGCUCAACUUCGGAACUGCCUUUGAUAUUGGCAAUCUAGAGUCCGGAAGAGGUUAGUGGAAUUCCCAGUGUAGAGGUGAAAUUCGUAGAUAUUGGGAAGAACACCAGUGGCGAAGGCGGCUCACUGGAUCGGUACUGACGCUGAGGUGCGAAAGCGUGGGGAGCAAACAGGAUUAGAUACCCGUGUAGUCCCUGAGCGGGCUGGCAAGGCGCAU